RNAcentral lists this ribosomal RNA (448 nucleotides) under uncultured bacterium. RNAcentral's name for it is "bacterial SSU rRNA". It matches the Rfam family "Bacterial small subunit ribosomal RNA", at positions 28 to 493 of the family's 1533-position model. The record is from RNAcentral.
GAUGAACGCUAGCGGCGUGCCUAACACAUGCAAGUCGAACGUGAGAGGGUACUUGUAUCCUUGAAAGUGGCGGACGGGUGAGUAAGACGUAGGUGACCUGCCUUGAAGUGGGGGAUAACCAUUGGAAACGAUGGCUAAUACCGCAUAAGCUGGUGAUGAUGGGAAUCGUUAUCAGGAAAGCUUUAGUGCUUUGAGAGGGGCCUACGGCCGAUUAGCUAGUUGGUGAGGUAAAGGCUCACCAAGGCGAUGAUCGGUAGCUGGUCUGAGAGGACGAUCAGCCACACGGGAACUGAGACACGGUCCCGACUCCUACGGGGGGCAGCAGUGAGGAAUAUUCGGCAAUGGGGGCAACCCUGACCGAGCAACGCCGCGUGGAGGAUGACGGUUUUUCGGAUUGUAAACUCCUUUUCUCAGGGAAGAGCGAGGACGGUACCUGGGGAAUAAGUCA